This 77-nucleotide transfer RNA is filed under the name Chascolytrum subaristatum. RNAcentral's name for it is "partial tRNA-Leu". It matches the Rfam family "tRNA", at positions 10 to 71 of the family's 71-position model. From Rfam's summary of the family: Transfer RNA (tRNA) molecules are approximately 80 nucleotides in length. Lineage: Eukaryota; Viridiplantae; Streptophyta; Magnoliopsida; Poales; Poaceae. The record is from RNAcentral.
UCGAAAUCCGGGUGACGCUACGGACUUAAAAUCCGUCGACUUUAUAAGUCGUGAGGGUUCAAGUCCCUCUAUCCCCA